RNAcentral lists this ribosomal RNA (366 nucleotides) under uncultured bacterium. Its description in RNAcentral is "partial 16S ribosomal RNA". It matches the Rfam family "Bacterial small subunit ribosomal RNA", at positions 338 to 701 of the family's 1533-position model. The record is from RNAcentral.
CCUACGGGGGGCAGCAGUGAGGAAUAUUGGUCAAUGGGCGCGAGCCUGAACCAGCCAAGUAGCGUGAAGGAUGACUGCCCUACGGGUUGUAAACUUCUGUUAUAAAGGAAUAAAGUGAGGCACGUGUGCCUUUUUGUAUGUACGUUAUGAAUAAGGAUCAGCUAACUCCGUGCCAGCAGCCGCGGUAAUACGGAGGAUCCGAGCGUUAUCCGGAUUUAUUGGGUUUAAAGGGAGCGUAGAUGGGUUGUUAAGUCAGUGGUGAAAGUUUGCGGCUCAACCGUAAAAUUGCAAUUGAUACUGGCAGCCUUCCGUACAGUUGCUGUAGGCGGCAUUCGUGUUGUAGCGGUGACCUGCUUAGAUAUCACG